RNAcentral lists this ribosomal RNA (253 nucleotides) under uncultured bacterium. Its description in RNAcentral is "partial 16S ribosomal RNA". It matches the Rfam family "Bacterial small subunit ribosomal RNA", at positions 524 to 776 of the family's 1533-position model. The record is from RNAcentral.
GACGAAGGUGGCGACCGUUGUUCGGAAUCACUGGGCAUAAAGAGCUCGUAGGCGGUGAGGAAAGUCGGGUGUGAAAUCCCUUGGCCCAACCGAGGAACUGUGCUCGAAACUGCCUUGCUUGAGGACGGAAGGGGAUUACGGAAUUCCUGGUGGAGCGGUGAAAUGCGUUGAUAUCAGGAGGAAUACCGGCGGCGAAGGCGGUGGUCUGGUCCGUUUCUGACGCUGAGGAGCGAAAGCGUGGGGAGCGAACAGG